AUGGUGAAACAUUUAUACAAAACACCUAUACCGAGGACACGCAAGGGAACCGUAGACAGGCAAGUGAAAUCCAAUCCACGAAAUAAUUUGAUCCAUCGAUGGCACCGUUGUGGUAAAGGUCGUAAUUCCAGAGGAAUCAUUACCCCAAGGCACAGAGGGGGAGGUCAUAAGCGCCUAUACCGUAAAAUAGAUUUUCGACGGAAUCAAAAAGACAUAUCUGGUAGAAUCAUAACCUUAGAAUACGACCCUAAUUGA
RNAcentral lists this ribosomal RNA (255 nucleotides) under Triticum aestivum (bread wheat). RNAcentral's name for it is "partial small subunit ribosomal RNA". The record is from RNAcentral. Lineage: Eukaryota; Viridiplantae; Streptophyta; Magnoliopsida; Poales; Poaceae.